CCCUAGUAGCGGCGAGCGAGCGGGAAGAGCUCAAAUUUAUAAUCUGGCACCUUCGGUGUCCGAGUUGUAAUCUCUAGAAGUGUUUUCCGCGUUGGACCGCACACAAGUCUGUUGGAAUACAGCGGCAUAGUGGUGAAACCCCCGUAUAUGGUGCGGACGCCCAGCGCUUUGUGAUACACUUUCAAUGAGUCGAGUUGUUUGGGAAUGCAGCUCAAAUUGGGUGGUAAAUUCCAUCUAAAGCUAAAUAUUGGCGAGAGACCGAUAGCGAACAAGUACCGUGAGGGAAAGAUGAAAAGCACUUUGGAAAGAGAGUUAACAGUACGUGAAAUUGUUGGAAGGGAAACGCUUGAAGUCAGACUUGCUUGCCGGAGCUUGCUUCGGUUUGCAGGCCAGCAUCAGUUUUCCGGGGUGGAUAAUGACGGUUUGAAGGUAGCAGUCUCGGCUGUGUUAUAGCUUUCCGUUGGAUACAUCCUGGGGGACUGAGGAACGCAGCGUGCUUUUUGCGAAAGACUCGUCUUUUUCACGCUUAGGAUGCUGGUGGAAUGGCUUUAAACGACCCGUCUUG
Molecule: ribosomal RNA, 565 nt
Filed under: Rhodotorula glutinis
Lineage: Eukaryota; Fungi; Basidiomycota; Microbotryomycetes; Sporidiobolales; Sporidiobolaceae
Description: partial large subunit ribosomal RNA
Rfam family: Eukaryotic large subunit ribosomal RNA
Source: RNAcentral